CGGAGGAUCCAAGCGUUAUCCGGAAUCAUUGGGUUUAAAGGGUCCGUAGGCGGUUUAAUAAGUCAGCGGUGAAAGCCUAUCGCUUAACGAUAGAACGGCCAUUGAUACUGUUAGACUUGAAUUAGUGGGAAGUAACUAGAAUAUGUAGUGUAGCGGUGAAAUGCUUAGAUAUUACAUGGAAUACCAAUUGCGAAGGCAGGUUACUAUCACUAUAUUGACGCUGAUGGACGAAAGCGUGGGGAGCGAACAGGAUUAGAUACCCUGGUAGUCCACGCCGUAAACGAUGGAUACUAGCUGUUCGGAGCAAUCUGAGUGGCUAAGCGAAAGUGAUAAGUAUCCCACCUGGGGAGUACGUUCGCAAGAAUG
This 366-nucleotide ribosomal RNA is filed under the name uncultured organism. Its description in RNAcentral is "bacterial SSU rRNA". It matches the Rfam family "Bacterial small subunit ribosomal RNA", at positions 526 to 896 of the family's 1533-position model. The record is from RNAcentral.